RNAcentral lists this ribosomal RNA (492 nucleotides) under uncultured bacterium. RNAcentral's name for it is "partial 16S ribosomal RNA". It matches the Rfam family "Bacterial small subunit ribosomal RNA", at positions 29 to 507 of the family's 1533-position model. The record is from RNAcentral.
AGUGAACGCUGGCGGUAGGCCUAACACAUGCAAGUCGAACGGCGGCACAGUAAGAGCUUGCUCUUACGGGUGUCGAGUGGCGGACGGGUGAGGAAUACAUCGGAAUCUACUUUUUCGUGGGGGAUAACGUAGGGAAACUUACGCUAAUACCGCAUACGACCUACGGGUGAAAGCAGGGGAUCUUCGGACCUUGCGCGAUUGAAUGAGCCGAUGUCGGAUUAGCUAGUUGGCGGGGUAAAGGCCCACCAAGGCGACGAUCCGUAGCUGGUCUGAGAGGAUGAUCAGCCACACUGGAACUGAGACACGGUCCAGACUCCUACGGGAGGCAGCAGUGGGGAAUAUUGGACAAUGGGCGCAAGCCUGAUCCAGCCAUACCGCGUGGGUGAAGAAGGCCUUCGGGUUGUAAAGCCCUUUUGUUGGGAAAGAAAAGCAGCAGGUUAAUACCCCGCUGUUCCGACGGUACCCAAAGAAUAAGCACCGGCUAACUUCGUG